Prunus mume (Japanese apricot) is the source of this 719-nucleotide non-coding RNA. The record is from RefSeq and is a predicted model, not a curated record. Lineage: Eukaryota; Viridiplantae; Streptophyta; Magnoliopsida; Rosales; Rosaceae.
CUCCGUGGUGUACCAUCAAAUGGUGUGGGUGUGUGUAGAAUUAUUCUUAGGUUGGCGUCCGAAUCUAUCGACCCUAUUUGGUGGUAGAAGGCAAAAUCUUGGAGGAAAAAAAAAAAAAUAAACUCUGUCGAUAAGCAGGGUUUUACAUACUUUCCUGUAUCAAAUUUUGAUCCCAUUUUGCUUUGUAGUUCUUGGUACUGUUACAGCAAUAUAUAUAUAUAUGUACAUAUAUAUAUACACAUAUAUAUAUAUUGAUUCGAUCGACAGUUUAUUCUAAGGCGAGGGGGACACCCACAAGGGAUUCGAAGUGAUGCCAUCGUGUUUGCAAACAAAGACCUCAACCACUGAGGACAAUGCAGGUUGAUUUUUUGUUUUCUGGCUGUUAGAAAUAUGAAUGCUAUAUAAUGACCUAACAUUGAUCACGAUGUAUGAAUAAUUAAAAGAAGAAAAGGAAAAGGAUAACUGAGAGAGGAGAGAGAAAAAGAGGGAGAUUUCAGUCCGCAAAAGAAAGGGACAGGAGAGAGAAGAAAGAAGAAAGACGAAGGCACAUGAUAUAAAGCUUUUCGUAGCUUCCCAUUCAAUUUGAUAUUUAUGUAGCGGCCAAAGUUACCGAAUUUUGUAGAGAAUAUCUUUCCUCUUUUUCGCAGUUACCAAAUUUUGAGAUGAGCCAUAUGAAUCUCAUUUGAAUAAUUCGCAGUACAGAAGAACACUUUUUUUCC